Long non-coding RNA from Homo sapiens (human), 1476 nucleotides. NCBI's taxonomy places the organism in Eukaryota, Metazoa, Chordata, Mammalia, Primates, Hominidae. The record is from Ensembl.
GGGGAGAGAAGGUCCUGCUGUCUAUGGGCAAGCCUGAGCACAGAGGCUGCUCUGCUGGUGGGGGUGGGGUCACUUCUCUCAGCCCCAGACUGUCAGCUCUCAGGAUUAUCCACCUCGGCUCCUGGUUGCAGCAACUGCUGUGGCAGUAUGUGGAGCGAGCACCUCUGGCUCCCAACUUCUCCUGACUGAGCUGGCCACUCGCUUCCUUCUCCUCUGUGCCUCAGGCGCUUGCUGAGACUUCUCUGUUGGACUCUAGUGCUCUCUCCUGGAUGUUCUAUUCGAGGUGUGCUUAUCUCUUCAUAAUUUUGGGUCUUCUUUCUGGAGAGGCUCUGCCGCACUAAGCUCUCUACAUGGCCGAGGCACCAGACCAGAAUGCGCCCUUUCGACAGGCAGAGAGAGCCAAAGGGGAAAAGAGCUGAGUCAAGGCUGCCAAGUUCCUGCUUCCAGCCCUACCAGCCGGUCACUCGCGCCUUGCAAUGAGGAAACCAGGAGUCCUAUCUAGAGCCUUUCCAUAGUUGUGGGAAAGAAGAUGGGUAAAGUUAUUGUUAAUCUACAGAGGAAGGAAUGAUGCCAAGUUUUUCAAGGCUUCCAGAGUCACAGGAGGAGUCACUUGGUAAAUCCAGGAGCAGAAACCAGGUACCAGUUGGAAGACCACAAUGUGUUUGUUCAGACCUGUGGGCCUCCUGGAUCCUUAGCAAAAGACCACACAGACAAGUGUUGAAUGCAGCUUUUAAAAGUAUGGAAGGGACAGUAAGACAGUUCUAAGCGUGGACUAGAAUAUAAUUUAAGGUUUCUGUGACACGGUGUUAGGACUCUUUCCUAGAAUUAUGAGAGCUGAACUAACAGCUCCCAGAUAACUGAAGCAUAAUAAUUAAUCUAGAAAAGCGGCCUCUUCUUUUCUGUGGUUGAACCUAAGUGUAGUUUUUACUUUUAACUAAAACUAGGUCAAUUAAGACCAUUGGAAUUCUGUGACUGAGGAUGUGUGGUGUUUAUUGGGGAUUUAAAAUAAGAUUUUUGUUCUUUUAUAAAUUUUAAUAUAAAUAGAUUGUUUUCCCUAUAGUAUUUAGUGUUAAUUAAUGGGGCUGACACAAUUAAUGGCAUCAAGAACAUAUAAUUAUGUUUAUUAUACUAAGAAAUUAUGCAAUUACGUAGUUGUUUAAUAGGUUAAGUGAUCUUAUAGAUAUUUUUAUCGUUUUUGCAACAGCUUUAUCCUGAUUUCUUUGUGAGAAAGCUUUUAAUGUUUCAAAAAUGUUGAGACAGACUUUUGUUAAAUUAAUCGCAUGAAAAAUAGUAUAUCUUUUUCAGUAACUGGGGAUUUUCAUAAAAGCCAUCAAAGAUAUAAUAUUAGAAGAUCUGCUGUUAAGAUAGCUGUUGUCAUAAAAAACUGUUGAUGAAUUUUGAAUUUUGACUAUUAACUGUCCAUGCUAAUCAGAUAUUCAGAGAACAAUAAACAGCAUUUGCUAAAUUCAUUUUUAA